CCUACGGGUGGCUGCAGUGGGGAAUAUUGCACAAUGGGCGCAAGCCUGAUGCAGCCAUGCCGCGUGUGUGAAGAAGGCCUUCGGGUUGUAAAGCACUUUCAGCGGGGAGGAAGGCGGUGAGGUUAAUAACCUCAUCGAUUGACGUUACCCGCAGAAGAAGCACCGGCUAACUCCGUGCCAGCAGCCGCGGUAAUACGGAGGGUGCAAGCGUUAAUCGGAAUUACUGGGCGUAAAGCGCACGCAGGCGGUCUGUCAAGUCGGAUGUGAAAUCCCCGGGCUCAACCGGGGAACUGCAUUCGAAACUGGCAGGCUAGAGUCUUGUAGAGGGGGGUAGAAUUCCAGGUGUAGCGGUGAAAUGCGUAGAGAUCUGGAGGAAUACCGGUGGCGAAGGCGGCCCCCUGGACAAAGACUGACGCUCAGGUGCGAAAGCGUGGGGAGCAAACAGGAUUAGAUACCCCAGUAGUC
Molecule: ribosomal RNA, 465 nt
Filed under: uncultured Klebsiella sp.
Lineage: Bacteria; Pseudomonadati; Pseudomonadota; Gammaproteobacteria; Enterobacterales; Enterobacteriaceae
Description: bacterial SSU rRNA
Rfam family: Bacterial small subunit ribosomal RNA
Source: RNAcentral